AGUGAGCUGCCUCUCUGCGAUUGGUUUUGCCCGAGUUUUAUUUUUGUCUGUCUCAGCUAGGAAGUGGGAGACUUUCAUUUAAAAUGGAAAUUGGGGCGAGGGGUUGGCGGCUGGGCGAAGGGAGCGUUCAAAAGCGGAGAAUGUCACUUUACCCGAGAAAUUCACUACGAUGGGCCAUUGGUUUCUGCUCGGCUCGCAGGCGCACUGCACGAGUGGAGGCGUGGCUAGUGGCUGUGAUGAGAUAAAUCCAUGCAUAGCCUUUUCAUUGCGAGCUUGAAAGUUCUUUUCUAUUACAGUUUUAGCUUUAGGUUUAAUUGGUUCGACUGCCUUCUCCACAAUUUGGGCGAGAAUUUCCUUUGCCUUCUCAGCAAAAGUUGUUCUGCGGACCCGUCUGGGUCAACUUUCAUGAGGGACAUUGAGACAAACAAAUGAAAUAUGGGUCAAAGUACUCUGAGCAGCUACAAAAAGACCAGUCUAUCCUGCUGGAGACAGUGGCCAUGUGAAGAAAGAGCUCUUGCAGUAUGAAAGACCACAUGGAAAGAGAGGCCACAUGGAACCAACAGUCAGCAUCUUGGUUUCAGACACGUGAAGAAAUUCAUCUCAGACUGUGUAUCCUAAAUCAGGCACUUGCUGAAUCCAACUACAUGAGUGAGACCAGUUGACAACACAUGGAGCAGACAUGAGCUGUUCUCAGUGAGUCCUACACAAAUUCCUGACUCACAACACUGUGAGCAAUAAAAUGGUUGUUAUUUUAAGCCACUGAAGUUUGCAGUGAUUUCUUACAUAGGAAUAGAUAAAUGAAACACAAACAUUGAUAAUUUGCAUCUUCUAUCUGUUUUAUGACUAGUCUUAUUGGAAAUUACCAGUUUAUUUCUGCCAUGGUUAGAAAACAAACUCUGAAAUUUUGAUACUUUAAAAUUUUUUUGAGACUUACUGUGCCCAGAAUAUAGUCUAUCUUGGUGAAUGUUCUGUGAGCACUAGACAAGAAUAUGUAUUCUGUAGUUAUUGAGCAUUUGUGUCCAUCAAUGUCAACGUGAUUAAGGUGGUUAAUAGUUGUCUUCAGAUCUUCUAUAUUGUAUUGAUUGUUUUAUGUGUAGUGUUGCUAUUAAUUAUUGAUACAGGAGUGUAAAACUUAAACUAUGGCUGUGAAUUUGCCACUUACUUUAGUUUUGUCAGCUUUUCUUUUGCAUUUUUGAAGCUCUGUUAUUGGGCAUAUAAACAUUUAUGGUUCGUGUGUCUUCCUGAUGAAUUGACCAUUUUAUCAUUAUGAAAUGUCUUUAUUGCUGAUAAUACUCCUUAUCUUGAAGUCUA
This 1311-nucleotide non-coding RNA is filed under the name Pan troglodytes (chimpanzee). Lineage: Eukaryota; Metazoa; Chordata; Mammalia; Primates; Hominidae. The record is from RNAcentral.